UGUAGGCAACACGCAGUCUACAUUGGAGUGAUCCAUUCUAUUUUUUCCAGGGGAAAGCCAAGGCAAUACAAAGCUGUAGAAAAAUCACUUAACCUUUUCUUUCCCCAAUUACUGCUUAACACAGGUCAUUGGUGUGCAUGCACCUGAUGUCACAUUGUGACUAGGUCUAUUUUUAAUGUCAUCUCAGCUGCAGAGAACAGUUGAUGACAACACAGUCCAGGUAAGCUUCUGUUAUGAAAUGGGACUCCAGGUUAGCUGCCUCUAGUCACGUAGCUGUACCCAAACUUAGGCUCCGAUAGAAAAACAAACAUUUGGUUAUCUCCUUGUGCGUACUUGGGGGAGAAGAAAAAACAAAGAAAAAAGAAAAAUAUCUGACCUUUUGAUGUGCACUUUCUCCGUCCUGUGUCCUGGCCAGUGCGCAAGUAAAUACGGGCUGGAAGCUGCCAGCCUGCCUGCGGUUCCCGCUCACGCACUGACACUCAGCCAACGGCAGAUAGGGAACCAGAAACAAAGAGGGUUACUACUCCACCGGGGCCCGCCGCCUUCUUCGGGCCAUGUUUUUCCAAAGGGCUACACACCUGACGGCAGCUUCCUCGGAUUCCAGUAAUCCUUGUUUUAUGGUUAUGGUUA
This is a long non-coding RNA of Phyllostomus discolor (pale spear-nosed bat), 630 nucleotides long. RefSeq lists it as uncharacterized. The record is from RefSeq and is a predicted model, not a curated record. NCBI's taxonomy places the organism in Eukaryota, Metazoa, Chordata, Mammalia, Chiroptera, Phyllostomidae. The transcript is spliced from 2 exons.